UGUAAGCGUAUACCAAAGUUGUUGCAGUUAAAACGCUCGUAGUCGGACUUUGGCAGUUCCGGAUGUGUGCACGUCGUGUGCGCACUUCGCGGGGAUUGCUUUUGUGGUCUUGCGUAGGAUGAGGCACUUUUAUUAGUGAACGUCCUCACGCAACCACUUUUUACUGUGAGAAAAUCAGAGUGCUCAAAGCAGGCAUUUGCCGUGAAUGUAUUAGCAUGGAAUAAUAGAAUAGGACUUGGUUCUAUUUUGUUGGUUUGUUGGGACUGAGUAAUGAUUAAGAGGGACAGUUGGGGGCAUUUGUAUUUCGGUGCUAGAGGUGAAAUUCUUAGAUUACCGAAAGACAAACUGCUGCGAAAGCGUCUUCCAAGGAUGUUUUCAUUGA
Molecule: ribosomal RNA, 382 nt
Filed under: uncultured eukaryote
Lineage: Eukaryota
Description: partial 18S ribosomal RNA
Rfam family: Eukaryotic small subunit ribosomal RNA
Source: RNAcentral